CCUACGGGUGGCAGCAGUGGGGAAUAUUGCACAAUGGGGGAAACCCUGAUGCAGCGACGCCGCGUGCGGGAAGACGUAUUUCGGUACGUAAAGCUCUAUCAGCAGGGAAGAAAAUGACGGUACGUGACUAAGAAGCCCCGGCUAACGACGUGCCAGCAGCCGCGGUAAUACGGAGGGGGCAAGCGUUAUCCGGAUUCACUGGGUGUAAAGGGAGCGUAGACGGCCAGGCAAGCCUGGAGUGAAAGCCCGGGGCCCAACCCCGGGACUGCUCUGGGAACUGGCCGGCUGGAGUGCGGGAAGGGCAGGCGGAAUUCCUGGUGUAGCGGUGAAAUGCGUAGAUAUGAGGAGGAACACCGGCGGCGAAGGCGGCCUGCUGGACCGCGACUGACGUUGAGGCUCGAAAGCGUGGGGAGCGAACAGGAUUAGAUACCCCGGUAGUC
This 440-nucleotide ribosomal RNA is filed under the name uncultured bacterium. RNAcentral's name for it is "partial 16S ribosomal RNA". It matches the Rfam family "Bacterial small subunit ribosomal RNA", at positions 338 to 795 of the family's 1533-position model. The record is from RNAcentral.